RNAcentral lists this long non-coding RNA (1118 nucleotides) under Nicotiana benthamiana. Its description in RNAcentral is "long non-coding RNA (NBEN_LNC025320)". Lineage: Eukaryota; Viridiplantae; Streptophyta; Magnoliopsida; Solanales; Solanaceae. The record is from RNAcentral.
AAUGGUUCAUUAUUUGGACUCUCCCACAACAAGAUAUGAAUCAUUUUUUACAAGCACAUAAAGCUGAAAAUUAUGCGACUAAGAUAAAAGUCAAACAAUGUAAAGCAAAAGAGAGGCUGAAAUAUUUAAGCCCUCAAAGUCUACAAGUUGAAGUCUUCAAGUCCGUUGGUCUUCAAGUUGAAGUCUUCAAAUUCGUCGAUCUUCAAGUUGAAAUAUUUAGGCCCUCCAAGUCUCAAAGUUGAAGUCUUCAAGUCUGUCGGUCUUUAAGUUGAAGUCUUCAAAUUCGCCGGUCUUAAAGUUGAAAUAUUUAAGCCUCCAAUUUAAGUCUUCAAGUUUGUCACUCUUCAAGUUUCAGUCUUCAAAUUCGCGGAUCUUAAAGUUGAAAGUUGAAGUGUGCAAGUUCGUCGGUCUUCAAGUUGAAGUCUUCAAAUUCGCCGAUCUUCAAGUUGAAAUAUUCUGGCCCUCCAAGUUUCAAAGUUGAAGUCUUCAAGUUUGUCGGUCUUCAAGUUUCAGUCUUCAAAUUCGCCGGUCUUAAAGUUAAAAUAUUUAAGCCCCUAAGUUGAAGUCUUCAGGUUCGUGGGUCUUCAAGUUUCAGUCUUCAAAUUCGCCGAUCUUAAAGUUGAAUUGUUAAGCCCUCUGAAUCUUCGAGUUAGAGUCUCCAAAGUCCGCCAAAUCUUCAAAGUUUUCCAAGUGUUCAGUCAAUGUCGUCUUCAAGUUGAAGCUUCAUAACUCUCCAAUCUUAAGGUGGACAUAUGAGUCCCUCUGCACCUUAAGUUAAUCUCUCCGGUAGUCGGGCAAUUUUGAGAGUAAUUUUUCCAAGAAUUGGGCCACAUUGAGAGUAAUCUCUCCAAGAAUUGGGCCACAUUGAGAGUAAUUUCUCCAAGAAUCGGGCCAUUUUGAGACUAAUCUCUCUGGUAAUUGGGCCACUUUGAGAGUAAUCUCUCCAACAAUUGGGCCACAUUGAGAGUAAUCUCUCCAAAAAUCGAGCCAUUUUGAGAGUAAUCUCUCCAAGAAUUGGGCCACAUUGAAAGUAAUCUCUCCAAGAAUCGGGCCAUGAAAGUAAUCCCUCCAAUAUUUGGGCAAGGAUGAGUACCCAUCCCCUCACACCCUAAGACUAC